Molecule: ribosomal RNA, 399 nt
Filed under: uncultured bacterium
Lineage: Bacteria
Description: bacterial SSU rRNA
Rfam family: Bacterial small subunit ribosomal RNA
Source: RNAcentral
GGGGAAUCUUGGACAAUGGGGGCAACCCUGAUCCAGCGACGCCGCGUGGGUGAUGAAGGCCUUCGGGUCGUAAAGCCCUUUUGCCGGGGAAGAUGAUGACGGUACCCGGAGAAGAAGCACCGGCUAACUCUGUGCCAGCAGCCGCGGUAAGACAGAGGGUGCUAGCGUUGUUCGGAAUUACUGGGCGUAAAGGGCGCGUAGGCGGCCCGUUUAGUCGGGUGUGAAAUCCCAAGGCUCAACCUUGGAACUGCAUUCGAUACUGGCGGGCUAGAGACCGGAAGAGGUGGGUGGAAUACCCAGUGUAGAGGUGAAAUUCGUAGAUAUUGGGUGGAACACCGGUGGCGAAGGCGGCUCACUGGUCCGGUUCUGACGCUGAGGCGCGAAAGCGUGGGGAGCAAA